This is a long non-coding RNA of Gasterosteus aculeatus aculeatus (three-spined stickleback), 1728 nucleotides long. Lineage: Eukaryota; Metazoa; Chordata; Actinopteri; Perciformes; Gasterosteidae. The record is from Ensembl.
CCAGUGUCAAAAAGGCAGUGUCAAACUAUUUUAAUUCUUCCGGAGUUCUUCCAACAAUGGACAGAGUAAAAUUGAACCAGAAAACUUCCAGUGUUGGUGAAAAUAAUCGGAGUUAACAGAGGUUUUACUCUGUCAGUGUUAUUGACUCUCUCAGGCCCUGAUUCAACACUGAUUAGAGCAAGAUACCUUCCAGAGUAUCACAAAAAAUACUCUGGAAAGCCCCGCCCACCAACUUUCCCGGUCAAACUGAGAAUGUGGAUUCUGGCAUCGCCAUCUUCCUCGCAUCGAAAUACUGUGGUAAGUCUUUCUACUAUAAACUAUUCCCGUUGUUUUUCUUCAUUCCAGUAGAAUCUGUAUAAGAAUAAAGGGACGUAUUCAUUCACCACACUAGUCAAUGUUGGGUACGUGUCUUCAAAUACCGAAUUUCAAAUGGCUAACGUGAUAUCGGGUCGGCGGUUAGCUUAAAUGUAGCAGCCACAUGUCUGAACUCGCAACACCAAACUGAACAAAAACGACACGAGGUAACGUUAAUGUCAGCGAGGACGAGCUGUCGUGGUGUGUUAUGUGUCAUGCUUGCACAUUUAUUUCAGUAAAAUGACGACAAAAAUUUGUUCAAGCAGUCAUAUUUAUUAUUUCUAUUUGAGCCGGAGCAAAUCGCUUUAGCGUCACGUCACAAUUUGGUCGAGCAUAGCGGGACAUGUCGCGGACAUGCGGACGUGCUCAUAGGACCCGCUAGUUCACCGGCAGACUGCGGAAUGCACCGAGUCGACCCAGUUAACGUGAACGGAGCCGCGGCUCCGAGAGGCUCGGUUCCCGUUAGCUGCUGCUGUAGCCAUAGACAUAUAAAGAGUAGACGCUGCAUUGGCUGCUGAGGCGCAAACAAAUAUUUUUUUAUUAUAUUAUAUACCAGAAUAUUAUUACUGUUACGCCUACUAUGAAUAUUAAAAUACGCCGAAUCAUGUUUUCGGUGUCAUGCCUACAAAAUCCCGUGAACAUCCGCUUUUGUAUUCAGCGAGUGACGCGCUGACACUUCGUUGCGCCAGCUGGCACAGAGUGGAGCGGGUGACCGGUCCAAGCUGGCGGCCCCGCGGCUCGUCAGCACCACUAGGCAGCAGCGGUCGAUGUCUAUUCUUUAUGUCUAUGGCUGUAGCUGCUGUAAGCUUAAUUUAUGCUUCCACGUUACGGCGGCGGCGUAACCCCGUCAUUGAGCAAGUUCUCCGUUGCUCUGCAGUUCCCCCCCAUGCCGCUAGGCGGGUGUGGCUGUGUGUUUCUGCGGGUGCCGAAUCCUUGGUGAGCCGAAUCUCAUAUUGAAGCGCAGGCUACGGAGAAGACGUGAAUUUACAACACUGGUUCACCCACUGAGGGACCUGGACGAGCAAGUGCACUUUCGAUACUUUCAAAUGUCAGCAACUGCCGCAAAUUACGUUCUGAGCGGACCAAUCACAGCACUUGCGGUCCACGUCAACUCGACUCGCAGUUAGAUUUUUUCGGAGGUGCACGUCAGGCUACGGCGGAGGGGUCUACGUAGUUACUUAUUAUGUAUAUUUUCCUUUUUUCUUUCAGGUUGUUCUUUAAUGUACUGUGGUGCUCUGGUGAUACCAUCAUGUUGAUCAAAACAUUCCUGUCAUCCAGCACCAACCAAGAUCUUUGCCACUGUGAUAAGAUGUGAGCUUUACAUGUUUUAGGUUUACUUUUGAUGCCAAUAUUUCAUGUUUACUUGGAAUAAAU